RNAcentral lists this ribosomal RNA (460 nucleotides) under uncultured bacterium. RNAcentral's name for it is "partial 16S ribosomal RNA". It matches the Rfam family "Bacterial small subunit ribosomal RNA", at positions 338 to 795 of the family's 1533-position model. The record is from RNAcentral.
CCUACGGGCGGCAGCAGUGAGGAAUAUUGGUCAAUGGGCGUAAGCCUGAACCAGCCAAGUCGCGUGAGGGAUGAAGGUUCUAUGGAUCGUAAACCUCUUUUAUAAGGGAAUAAAGUGUGGGACGUGUCCUGUUUUGUAUGUACCUUAUGAAUAAGGAUCGGCUAACUCCGUGCCAGCAGCCGCGGUAAUACGGAGGAGCCGAGCGUUAUCCGGAUUUAUUGGGUUUAACGGGUGCGUAGGCGGCCUUUUAAGUCAGCGGUGAAAGUCUGUGGCUCAACCAUAGAAUUGCCGUUGAAACUGGGAGGCUUGAGUAUGUUUGAGGCAGGCGGAAUGCGUGGUGUAGCGGUGAAAUGCUUAGAUAUCACGCAGAACCCCGAUUGCGAAGGCAGCCUGCCAAGCCAUGACUGACGCUGAUGCACGAAAGCGUGGGGAUCAAACAGGAUUAGAUACCCCAGUAGUC